This 1107-nucleotide ribosomal RNA is filed under the name Triticum aestivum (bread wheat). RNAcentral describes it as "partial small subunit ribosomal RNA". The record is from RNAcentral. Lineage: Eukaryota; Viridiplantae; Streptophyta; Magnoliopsida; Poales; Poaceae.
AUGGGUAGUCGCAGGUGCUCGUCCGCCGUUGUCCUCGCCAUCUCUGUCGUGGCGCUUCUCAACGCGGCCGUGGCGCUGUGCGGCUGCAGCUACAAGCGCAUCUUUGCGUUCGGUGACUCCCUCGUCGACACCGGCAACUUGUUGUACUCCAUCGGCAACAGCGCGUCGCCAAUCAAGGAGCUCCCCUACGGCAUGACCUUCUUCAAGCACCCCAACGGCCGCGUCACCGACGGCCGUGUCGUCGUCGACUUCUACGCGGAAGCGCUCGGCCUGCCGCUGCUGCCGCCGAGCAUCCCGGAGGAGGCGUCCGGGCAGUUCCCCAAUGGCGCCAACUUCGCCGUGGCAGGCGCCAUUGCGCUUCCACCGGAGUACUACAAGACCAAUUACAACUUCACGAUGAACGCGCCUUCCAACCUCGACCGGCAGCUUGCCUCCUUCAAGAAGGUCCUCGCGCGCAUCGCUCCCGGGGAUGGUGCCACGAGGGCUCUCCUGAGCGAGUCCCUGGUGCUGAUGGGCGAGAUCGGCGGGAAUGACUAUAACUUCUGGUUCAUCGACCCCAGGAACCCCCGCGAGACACCGGAGAAGUACCUACCCGACGUGGUCACCUGCAUCGGCGCCACCCUGCAGGAGGUGAUCAACCUCGGCGCCAGGACGAUCGUCGUCCCUGGCAAAUUCCCUAUCGGAUGCUUGCCGGCGUACCUGAGCGCCCACGAGAGCAAGGUCACGGACGACUACGACGAGCUCCACUGCCUCAAGUGGUACAACGAAUUCUCCCAGAAACACAACCUGGCGCUGCGGCAGGAGGUUGUGAGGCUCCGGUCGCAGAACCCUGGCGUCAAGAUCGUCUACGCUGACUACUAUAGCGCCGCCAUGCAGUUCGUCCAGAAGCCGCAGGCGUACGGCAUCGCCGACCCACUCGUGGCGUGCUGUGGCGGCAAUGGGCCGUACCACAGCGGGGCGUGCAACAACAAGACGAAACUCUGGGGCAGCCCCGACCGCUUCGCCAAUUGGGACGGCCUGCACAUGACGGAGAAAGCGUACAAGAUUGUUGCCGACGGUGUGCUGGACGGGCCGUUCGCGGACACCCCUCUGCGCCAUCUUUGCUAG